RNAcentral lists this ribosomal RNA (520 nucleotides) under uncultured Glomus. RNAcentral's name for it is "SSU rRNA". It matches the Rfam family "Eukaryotic small subunit ribosomal RNA", at positions 569 to 1088 of the family's 1831-position model. The record is from RNAcentral. Lineage: Eukaryota; Fungi; Glomeromycota; Glomeromycetes; Glomerales; Glomeraceae.
AGCAGCCGCGGUAAUUCCAGCUCCAAUAGCGUAUAUUAAAGUUGUUGCAGUUAAAAAGCUCGUAGUUGAAUUUCGGGGUUAGUAGGUUGGUCGUGCCACUGGUACGUACUGGUCUCACUGAUUCCUCCUUCCUGAUGAACUGUAAUGCCAUUAAUUUGGUGUUGCAGGGAAACUGGACUGUUACUUUGAAAAAAUUUAGAGUGUUUAAAGCAAGCUAACGCUUGAAUACAUUAGCAUGGAAUGAUGAAAUAGGACGUUCGAUCCUAUUUUGUUGGUUUCUAGGAUUGGCGUAAUGAUUAAUAGGGAUAGUUGGGGGCAUUAGUAUUCAAUUGUCAGAGGUGAAAUUCUUGGAUUUAUUGAAGACUAACUACUGCGAAAGCAUUUGCCAAGGAUGUUUUCAUUAAUCAAGAACGAAAGUUAGGGGGAUCGAAGACGAUCAGAUACCGUCGUAGUCUUAACCAUAAACUAUGCCGACUAGGGAUCGGAUGAUGUUAAUUUUUUAAUGACUCAUUCGGCGCCU